RNAcentral lists this ribosomal RNA (305 nucleotides) under uncultured bacterium. RNAcentral describes it as "bacterial SSU rRNA". It matches the Rfam family "Bacterial small subunit ribosomal RNA", at positions 331 to 655 of the family's 1533-position model. The record is from RNAcentral.
UUGGACCUACGGGGGGCAGCAGUGGGGGAUAUUGCACAAUGGGGGAAACCCCGAUGCAGCGACGCCGCGUGGGUGAAGAAGCGCCUCGGCGCGUAAGGCCCUGUCAGCAGGGAAGAAAAUGACGGUACCUGAAGAAGAAGCCCCGGCUAACUACGUGCCAGCAGCCGCGGUAAUACGUAGGGGGCAAGCGUUAUCCGGAUUUACUGGGUGUAAAGGGGGCGCAGACGGCGAUGCGAGCCAGGAGUGAAAGCCCGGGGCCCAACCCCGGGACUGCUCUUGGAACUGCGUGGCUAGAGUGCAGGAGG